UGGGGUGUAGCUCAGUGGCAGAGCACUUGCUUAGCAUGUUCGAGGCCCUAGGUUUGACCCCCAGCACCACAA
RNAcentral lists this transfer RNA (72 nucleotides) under Marmota monax (woodchuck). It matches the Rfam family "tRNA". From Rfam's summary of the family: Transfer RNA (tRNA) molecules are approximately 80 nucleotides in length. Lineage: Eukaryota; Metazoa; Chordata; Mammalia; Rodentia; Sciuridae. The record is from Rfam by way of RNAcentral.